This 424-nucleotide ribosomal RNA is filed under the name uncultured bacterium. RNAcentral's name for it is "bacterial SSU rRNA". It matches the Rfam family "Bacterial small subunit ribosomal RNA", at positions 358 to 773 of the family's 1533-position model. The record is from RNAcentral.
GGAAUUGUUCGCAAUGGGCGCAAGCCUGACGACGCAACGCCGCGUGGAGGAUGAAGAUCUUCGGGUCGUAAACUCCUGUCGAGCGGGACGAAUGCCUUGCCGGUGAAUAUCCGGCGAGGGUGACGGUACCGCUAACGGAAGCCCCGGCUAACUCCGUGCCAGCAGCCGCGGUAAUACGGGGGGGGCAAGCGUUGUUCGGAAUUACUGGGCGUAAAGGGCUCGUAGGCGGCCAACUAAGUCGGAUGUGAAAUCCCCAGGCUCAACCUGGGAACUGCAUCCGAUACUGGAUGGCUUGAAUUCGGGAGAGGGAUGCAGAAUUCCAGGUGUAGCGGUGAAAUGCGUAGAUAUCUGGAGGAAUACCGGUGGCGAAGGCGGCAUCCUGGACCAUUACUGACGCUGAGGCGCGAAAGCUAGGGGAGCAAAC